Molecule: long non-coding RNA, 1018 nt
Organism: Carassius gibelio (silver crucian carp)
Lineage: Eukaryota; Metazoa; Chordata; Actinopteri; Cypriniformes; Cyprinidae
Exons: 3
Source: RefSeq, a predicted model, not a curated record
UCAAAAACCGAAGCAUGGUCAAGUGCCCCUAGCCUCACUUUUAUGACGCCAAAUGUGCCUCUCGGCGUCAAAUAUCGAAGCACUACGACCUUCAUUGCUUUCAAUGGGAAACUUUUGGCGUCAGAAUUCGACACGAGGACAUGAGAUGUUUAUCGCUAUGAAAUCACGUUCAAGAAGUCUCAUUCAGCACACAUCGCGAUACUUGCUAUCAGUGACAGUUCCACAGUUUGGCUGAAAAGACAUAAAGGCAGUCAGCCCAGUGGUGUUUCUGGAGAGGGAUUCCUUCAGAAAUGGAGAAGACAGAAAGCUGCGGAGGCAGAUAUUUGCAGCAGAUUGUUUGAGGAUAACGCUGUAGCUCCAUCAUGCACAAGGACUCACCUCGUUUACUCUUUAUCACCCACACACACAGAAAUGGUCCCUGGAUCAGUGAUUAGACUUUGCAGUGGUUUGAUUUUUGCAGAAGAUGUAACUUUGUUUUAAUUAUAAGCUCAUAAUGAAUACAUUACAGAACCAGUGAUGAAAACAAUAGUUAAAAAAAGCGCUCCAUAUUAAAAAUAUGGUGUUUUCAUGGUGUUUUUUUGUGAGUUUGAAACAUUUACAUUGUGUUGUAUAACAUUUUGGUCACAACACUUUUUCCAGUGUUCUCUGAAAGACAUACUGUAUUUACUGUUUUGUUUUUUAAUAAAAGCAUUUUCAUUUGCAUACUGAAAAUAGUUCAUGUUUACAACAUAACUGCCUUUUUAUUCUUUAUGGUGGCAAAAACGAGCUUGGUGACAGAGGAUGCAGUGUAGUAAUUUGGGCAUGUUGUCUUUAAAUGAGUUUGACAUAUAAAUAAAUAAUGGAAGAUCCUUACAAAAAUAUGCAUGUUUAUUAUGCUUUAUGUAUUUAUUUGUUCAUUCAUUCAUUCAUUUAUAAUUUCAGUUUUUAUUCCUAGAGUUCAAAUGGUAGAGAAUGGUAAAUCACAGAAACACAAAUGUGAACAAUUUUAACUUUAAAACACAAUGUAAUAUACAAUGUA